GGGUCAUCAUGGUCUGGAAAAUGAUUUUGAGUUUAUGUUACCAAUCUCUUUCAUGUUAGGACGAUUGCACAACCUUUUAUACUCGCUUAAUUCAUUUUAGAUGAAUGAUGAAUAUCGUAUGCAGGUAAUAUUUCCACAAUUGCACAACUAUUCCUAUCGACGAUUGCACAACUUUUUAUACCUGCUUAAUUCAUUUUAGAUGAAUGAUGAAUAUCGUAUGCAUGUAAUAUUUCCACAAUCGUACAACUAUUCCUAUUAUACAUAUGGUGUUUGUAUGGUCUGAAUACUUAACAUCUUAUAAUCU
RNAcentral lists this long non-coding RNA (304 nucleotides) under Nicotiana benthamiana. RNAcentral describes it as "long non-coding RNA (NBEN_LNC024493)". Lineage: Eukaryota; Viridiplantae; Streptophyta; Magnoliopsida; Solanales; Solanaceae. The record is from RNAcentral.